RNAcentral lists this unclassified non-coding RNA (340 nucleotides) under Hevea brasiliensis (rubber tree). Lineage: Eukaryota; Viridiplantae; Streptophyta; Magnoliopsida; Malpighiales; Euphorbiaceae. The record is from RNAcentral.
GGACUUAGUAUUUUAUUUGCUGGAAUAGCUCUUUGUGCAGUUGCUGUAUGUACUGGCAGGAGAUGUGGGAAACCAGGUUGUCGUGGGCUUAAGAAAGCUGCUGAAUUUGAUAUUCAAUUAGAGACAGAAGAUUGUGUUAAGAACUCAAAUCUUAUAGCAGCAAAAGAUGGAGUUAAUAAGAAGGGAUUAUUCGAGUUACCUCGCGAUCAUCAUAAAGAAUUGGAAGCUGAGCUUAAAAGGAUGGCACCUCCUAAUGGAAGAGCUGUACUGAUAUUUCGAGGGAGAUGUGGAUGCUCUGUAGGUACAAUGGAAGUGCCUGGACCCAAAAAGACUCGAAAGG